GCCGGGCGAGAUGGCGGGCGCCUGUAGUCCCAGCUACUCGGGAGACUGACGCAGGAGAAUCGCUUGAACCCGGGAGGUGGAGGUUGUGGCCAGCUCAGAUUGCACCACUGCACUCCAGCCUGGGCAACAAGAGCAAAACUCCAUCUCANNNNNNNNNNUGAGAUGGAGUUUUGCUCUUGUUGCCCAGGCUGGAGUGCAGUGGUGCAAUCUGAGCUGGCCACAACCUCCACCUCCCGGGUUCAAGCGAUUCUCCUGCGUCAGU
Chlorocebus sabaeus (green monkey) is the source of this 262-nucleotide non-coding RNA. NCBI's taxonomy places the organism in Eukaryota, Metazoa, Chordata, Mammalia, Primates, Cercopithecidae. The record is from Rfam.